GGCCUGACUGAGUGGUCUGGCCUCGUGUCAGUACUGCUCUGGUCGGGUCUUUCCUUCUGGGGAACCAUCUGCCCUUAACUGGGUGUGUUGGGGAUCUAGGACUUUUACUUUGAAAAAAUUAGAGUGUUUAAAACAGGCUUAUGCUUGAAUACAUUAGCAUGGAAUAACGGAAUAGGACUU
RNAcentral lists this ribosomal RNA (180 nucleotides) under uncultured Glomeromycotina. RNAcentral's name for it is "partial small subunit ribosomal RNA". The stretch from base 88 to 180 matches the Rfam family "Eukaryotic small subunit ribosomal RNA", at positions 735 to 830 of the family's 1831-position model. Lineage: Eukaryota; Fungi; Glomeromycota. The record is from RNAcentral.